UGGAAAAAACUUGCUUUUAAUAUUUUAAACUCUUCAAAACUCCUCUUCUUUCAAGUUUUCUUGUGAGACUUUCCGAUAAUUUCGUGAGAGUUUAUUGUUGGUCGAAAAUUUUAUGAUGGUUGGUUACUUUUUCCUUCCAACCCACGACGUCUCGAUUUCAUACUUAUGUAUAGGUAUCGUUCUUUAUUCCAAAUACUACAUUUUUUUUUCUUUCUUUAUGCUACCAUUUGUUUUAUGGAUUCUCCAUGUUCUCGGGUUGUUUUUUACUCUAGGGGUUCUUGCUCCUCUGAAUAUCCCGGUGGUUUUAGAGGUGUUGCCUCCAGCGUCUCCAUAGGAUCGACUAGUGCCACCUUUGAUGAUGGUGACUUUGCCAUUUCUCCACCUUUUCUCCUAUUUUUGUCCCUUCCCAAAACUUUGAAAGGGACUAUGUGGAGGGAUUUGGAUUGAGUGCAAUCAGUACAUCUUGAUCGAAUGUCAUUGAUUGCAGUCAAACCCUGCCGACUAGUGGCGGAUGGAGAGGGGGGGCCUUUGGAAGCCAUGAUCCCCCCCCCCCCCUAUAUUUUUAAUAAAAAAAUUUAUAUACUAUAAUGAGACUAUAUUAGAAUGUUUCAUAAAAUAUAUAUUAGGUUAUGGCCCCCUCAAUUAAUUUAAUUCAAAUGUUCACCAUAAUAUUAGAUUAUUUGACAACUAAUAUCAUUAGUUUUAUAUAUUAUAUUAUUUUAAAUUAUCUCAUAUGGUCCUUUCCACAACAUAUUUUAAAUGGAAUGAAACACAAUGAUAUAGCUUUGCAAAAUAAAAUACUAUUUUAAAGCAAAAAAUGAGCAAAUUAAAACCUAAAAUAAAAAUAGGGGGAUAAAAUAUAAUUUACUCCUUAAUGGAUUCUAUUCUCCUGUGACAAAAAACUCAUGUCUUUCACACUCGUACAAAAGUUCUUCUAUAUAGUCAGUCGUCGUUCUCCCUUUAUAUUAACCCUUCGAUUCUCAAGAUAAAACAGUCAUGGUGAUUCGGAGUUCAUCCGAGAGGUAACUAAAGUUUGGCAAAAAAUUGUUCUGCUCAAGAAUCAAACUCGGGUUAUCCUGAAUAAUUUGACAUUUACUAAAAACACAUUUAACCCUAGAACAUAUACAUUAUUAGUUUUCUCUUUUUAUACAAGGGUGUUUUUGUUUUCUUUUCCUACUUAAUGUUUUUUUUCUCUAUUAUUAAGUCAAUACUUGUAUGAUAACUGUACAUACCUAUUAAUGUCUCUCAUACUAAUUAAAUAUAGUUAUAAAUUUCUUUAAAAAACAAGAAAAUAUUAGUUUAUGCCUUUAGGGUUUCUUAUACAUCUUUUGUAUUUAAAAAAUUAUUUUAAAUCAAAUUAUGUUCCUUAUUUGCUAAAAAGAAUGUCUCUUGUAUUCGACCUCCCUAACUUUAAAUUCCUGGCUCCGUCCAUGCUCCCGACUACACACAAACUGAGUGGUGUUAUCUCCUCGACAGGCGCUCAUAGAUUGUGAGGUUUGAAGGCAACACUUGAGGGAUACUUAUCUUCCUCAGGAUGGAUUAUGAGAGAAAUGUUGAAUGGGCUCAUGUUCCUCUUUACGUCGAAAUAAAAUGCAUAAAUACUUGGUUUUAUCCAAGGUAAGCCUCAAAACACAUACAUCAAAUUCUCACUAUUUGGUUCAUAAAGUCAUACAACAAUUUUAUUUUAUUUUUUGGUCAAGUUUUGUUGUCAUACAACAAUAUUUUAAUUGUAACAUGUUGAAUAUAAACACAUAAAACUUAAUUAUCUACAAACACAAUAUAAUUGGCAUAGACUAUGAUACUAAUUGUUGAAAUUUCUUUAGGCUCCAAGAAGAACAAUAUCAAGUUGAUACUAAGAAUCUUCAAUUUUAUUACCAAUCAACAAAAUUCAUCUCUACAAAAUCCAAAAAAUAUGGCAAUGAUAGUUUAUAUCAAUCUAUUUGACGCCUCUCUCUCUUAGACUUUGCUCUCUCCAUCUUCAACAUUUCUAGCAAGAAAUCACUCCAUGUAUCUAUAGGCCCUGGCAAACACCAAUGAACACAAUCAUUAUACAAUGUCACAUUUUCUUGAGGUAAAUGUCCAUACCUACUUGGAUGACCAUCUGGUCUCAAUAACAUAGCUUGAGUUGUAUCAAGCAACCUAAAUUUCAAACCAUUUCUCUUGGCCUUCUUUUGAGAAAUUUUGUACUCUUCCAAUUGGAUCAUAUAUAACUCCAUAUUGGUCCCUUCUAACCUUGCCUCAUUACUCUUAAAUGGCUUAGUCCUUAAACAAUUCCCACCUUGGUUCCAUAUACCAUUCUCAAAAUGUGAUGGUGCAAAUGUCCUAAGAAAUGUCACACCCUUAAAAUUUUCUAAGCUAUUUAAGGCUCUAAAUGCAGUCCUAAAAGCUUUUCUAUAGCCAUAAUACAUUGUUAAAUCAGUGACAUUUUCUAAGAGACAAUAAUGACAUCCAACAAUUUUUCCUUUCUCAUAGAAUACCAUUGGCUUGUAGAACCAAUGUCCUCCAUUGAUUAUGACAUAGUCAAAAUCUUCAAUUUGUGAUGUCCAUUUUUCAUCAAAUUCAUCUAGGUAAAGAUUGUAGAGACCAGUGUGGGUUGGACCAUCUGAAUUUUCUCUUUGAGCUUUGACAAGAAAGGGGGUCCAAUAAGCAGCCAUGGUGAAAUUGUAACUUGGGUAUUUCCAUCUCAUGAAAUAGUCAUCUUUUGUGUAUGAUACAUCUAUAGGCCAUUCCACCUAGAAAAAGUUAAAUGGUCUAAGAUUUAGAAAAUUAUUUAUCAAUAAAAAAAUAUAAAAACAUAGAAGCACGCACAAUUUUAAAUAAGGGAAAUGUUAAUGAGUGCUUAUGGGGCACUCUUUAAACAUCUUUAAUAGUAGUAGUAAGUUUUUAUAAAAAUCAGUGUAAUUAAUGCAUUGAAAUUUAUAACAUUUGACUUUUUUAAGGAAUACUUUCUAAAUUUAGAAUAUUUAAAGAGUGUCCUAGAUACAUUACCCUUUUAAUAAAAUGAAGUUAAAGAUGAAACUAUGCAAUAAGAGUUUUUCUUGCCUAUAAAGUCUCAAAUAAUUCAGAGGGUCAUGGGUCUUUCAUCUUUGGAUUGUAUUCUAGUGGAAAUUAUUCAAUAUUCGCAUGAAAACAAGAAGUUAAGCCCAGAGGAAAUAAUUAAAUUAGUUGGAUUGUCACACCACAUGUUAGCAUCAUGCUGUUAUUGUACCUUGUCAUUGGUUAGAUAUUGAAAACUAUUUCAUUGUCAACUUAACCUUUUGCAUUUAGUAAAAAAAAAAAAAAAAGGAAAUUUUGUCUUGGUUUGAGAUCGGAAUGUCAAGAAUCGAACCUACAACAACUAGUUCAAAAUCCGACCUAUGCAUAUAUUAUACAUUGUCCCUACCAACUGAGCUAAGUUCACGGUGACAGCCGAUUAAAAACUUAAGUGCAAUCAUUUUGUUAUAGUAUAAAAUAGUUUUAUCAAAAACUGAUUUAAUUGGCUAAAUGGACUUGUGUUUUUCUGACUAAAGUUUGACUAGUGAGUAGUGAGUAUAUUUUAUGAGUUGGAGGCUUCAACUUUGGAUACACUAAUUAAUUAUAAACACUAUAUUUACAAGUAACUCGAAAAUAAAGAAAACCAAGAACUGAAUUUAAUUAAUAAAAUAAAUAAAAAGUGACUUGAGACUGUGUUCUUGUGGCCUGGUUAGGGACAUGGAAUGUGAUUGCCAGAGUUUACAUCUCGUGCUAAGAUUCCACUUCUUGUGGCAUGCUUUGCUUAAUUACUGAGAUAAUUUAUGUGGUUGGACAGAUUUUGUUAUAUUUGUUUUAUGUUUAUAUAAUAUUUUAUGAAUAAGUUUGUGAAAACUAUAGUUUUAAACAUGUAAAGUCUAAAUAAAAGAUUGAGUCAAAAAAAUGAUUUUUUUUUUAAUAUCGUUUUAUUUUAUAUCUUGCUAUUAUAUUUGAGAAAUUUACUAGUAACAGGUUUUUUAAAGUCAAAUUUAUUUAUUUAUUUUUUAAAAAAACUCGAUAUUCGGUGCAAGGAUCUACUAAUUCGAGAGAACAAGUCCUACCGUCCACUUUGGGAGGGUUCGUUUAAAGUCAGAGCAUUAGCAAAACUCUAUAUGGACUUGCCCGUCAGAAUUGACAUUAGAGGGAAUCUGAAACUUUGAAAUAAACACACUCCAAGAUCCGAAACCAACCAUUAUAUCAACCCUAAAUAGGUUAAAGUCAAAUUUAUUUUAUAGAUGGACUGAAGCACAUAAAUGGACUUGUCAUCUGAGAGAAAACCGACAUUUAGAGUAAAAGUCUACGCCAGUAUUUUUUUUUUGUGAAUAGACGAAAUGGCAAAGUCAUUGUAAACUCACACACACAAUUGGAGGUACCGGGGUUCGAACCCCGAUCAUAGAAUCCGGCCUAACAAUUUCGGCAUUUUACCAAUUGAGCUAGAACUUGUUGAUUCUAUUCCAAUAUUUAUUUUAGGGAAAAGGUCUAUUCUAAUUAUUAUCUGUAUUAAAUGAGUCCUGAGAUUGAGGUUUAUUUGUCAAAUAAUAAAUGUGCUAUUAUUUAACCUUCCGUGUUUUAGUGGGUAAGAGACAUUUGCGAAGUUCGACAUGGAGGUAAGUAAAACCUGACCGAAAACUGUUUUAUAUAAUUUGUUAUUUUGUGGAGUUCAUUUGACUAAGUUCUACUUUUUAAUUAAAGUAGAGAGGUAGUUGGGUCAAUGUCAUCUCUAUUUCUUAAAAGGAAUUGACUAUGCACAAAUUAGAGAUUGGUGCAGUCAAGUUAUGGCACUCUAUUUUUUCAAUAAAAUUUGAGAACUUUAUUUAGAGAUAGAUACAUGCAAAAAAAAGUUUCAAAAAGUUAAAUAGUCAAAAGUAUUAAAUAUAUUUGAUUUUUUGUUUACAUUUAAAACAAAAGAAAAUCAUUUUUUUAUGAUAGUCGGACUCACUUGAUGUUGAAGCCGGAUUUUUACUUUUUGUGGUAUGUAUCUCUCAAAAUGAAGAGAUCUCAACUUUAUGCAAUUUAUUAUUAAAAGUAUUUUAAUAAAGGGUAUCAUUUUUUUAAAAAAAAAAAUUAAAUUAAAUUAGUCCACCUAAAUUAACAUGGAAGAGAAUCGAACAUGAUAACUCGAAGAGUAGUAUACUUCCAGUUAAUAUCACCGGAGUAACCCAAGUGGAUUUAAUAAAGGGUAUCAUUAAUCUCACUUGUUUAUGUGUUUCUCCUAAAUGAAACCUUCCGUUUCUUUUGACAAAUGACUAGUCUCAUGAAUUGUGGUAUCAUUGAUGACUACACUACUUCAUCAAUCUAUAAGCUUGAUCAAGGAGCACAAUGAUAGAUUUUUUUAUCAAUGUGAAUUAAAGCCUCUAUGAAUUGUCAUUGAAGCAAAUAGUGUAUCAUUGAUUGAUGGUAUUUUCGGUUCAAAAGUUUGUGUAAAUAAAAAAAUGAUACAAUCACACACCACAUGCCAAAUCACUUAUCACCAAAGCAACUAUAAUUAACAUAGAUAUCAAAAAAGGGACAAAAGCAAAUGAUAAAAAAUGAUGAUUAAUUUUUUUUAAAUAAAAUUUGCAUCAAAAUAGAAGAAGUGUAGAAGUGAAACUUACCCUUGAUAGAAGACAAAUCAAUGACUGCAUGUGAUUUCUACCAACAGAAUCUCCAACAAAAGCCAUAGAUUUUCCUCUAACAAUUUCAAGAAAUUGAAAAGGAUUGAAAAUUGGUAGUUCACACUCAUUUGGCUUCCAUCUCCACUUCAUAAACUCAGAAUCUGGCCUACCAUAUUUCAUGCAAUUUUGAUGCUCAUGAAUUGCCCAACAUGUUUUGUUUGUAUAAUAUGGUCCUUUUGGAUUUGGCACCCACUCACCACUAAAAAUGUCACAAUUUUUCAAAGAUGUUGAAGGUAAAUUUUCUUUCUCAAUUGAAUCAACAUUUGAAGAGUUUGGUUGUUUAGACUUGCUCAUCAUCAAGAGAAAUGAUGAACCAAACAAAGGAUAAGACAAAGGGGUGACAAGAACUAUGAUUAUGACAAAUAUUGCUAAUAAAAUUAUUUUUGGUAACAUUUGUUUUUUGUUAUUGUUUCCAUAGAGAUGCUCUUUCUCUUGGAACUUCAUUUUUGGAAGGGUUAUGGAGAAAAAGAGAAAACAAGAGAAAGG
This 6128-nucleotide long non-coding RNA is filed under the name Medicago truncatula (barrel medic). RNAcentral's name for it is "long non-coding RNA (MTRU_LNC003885)". Lineage: Eukaryota; Viridiplantae; Streptophyta; Magnoliopsida; Fabales; Fabaceae. The record is from RNAcentral.